RNAcentral lists this ribosomal RNA (118 nucleotides) under Helianthus annuus (common sunflower). Lineage: Eukaryota; Viridiplantae; Streptophyta; Magnoliopsida; Asterales; Asteraceae. The record is from RNAcentral.
GUUUGCGAUCAUACCAGCACUAAUGCACCGGAUCCCAUCAGAACUCCGCAGUUAAGCGUGCUUGGGCGAGAGUAGUACUAGGAUGGGUGACCCCUGGGAAGUCCUCGUGUUGCAACCC